RNAcentral lists this ribosomal RNA (989 nucleotides) under human gut metagenome. RNAcentral describes it as "bacterial LSU rRNA". It matches the Rfam family "Bacterial large subunit ribosomal RNA", at positions 1950 to 2925 of the family's 2925-position model. The record is from RNAcentral.
CCUAAGGUAGCGAAAUUCCUUGUCGGGUAAGUUCCGACCUGCACGAAUGGCGUAACGACUUCCCCACUGUCUCGACCAGGAGCUCGGCGAAAUUGCAGUACGAGUAAAGAUGCUCGUUAAGCGCAGAAGGACGAAAAGACCCCGGGACCUUUACUAUACCUUGGUAUUGGCAUUCGGUGUGGAUUGUGUAGCAUAGGCGGGAGGCCGAGAGGCGCGGUCGCCAGAACCGGCACCGCGCGCGGAGCCGUAAGGUGAAAUACCGCUCUGUUCGCAUUGGAUGUCUAACCUCGAACAGUCAUCCUGUUCAGGGACAGUGCCUGGCGGGUAGUUUAACUGGGGCGGUUGCCUCCCAAAGAGUAACGGAGGCGCCCAAAGGUCCGCUCAGCCCGGUUGGCAAUCGGGUGGCGAGUGCAAGUGCACAAGCGGGCUUGACUGCGAGGACGACGGUCCGAGCAGGGACGAAAGUCGGGACUAGUGAUCCGGUGCCGGUGUACGGACGCGGCAUCGCUCAACGGAUAAAAGGUACCCCGGGGAUAACAGGCUGAUCAUUCCCAAGAGUCCAUAUCGACGGGAUGGUUUGGCACCUCGAUGUCGGCUCGUCGCAUCCUGGGGCUGGAGCAGGUCCCAAGGGUUCGGCUGUUCGCCGAUUAAAGCGGCACGCGAGCUGGGUUCAGAACGUCGUGAGACAGUUUGGUCUCUAUCCUCUGCGCUCGUUGGAAUGCUGAGGAGGCCUGCCCAUAGUACGAGAGGACCUGGGUGGACGAACCUCUGGUAUGCCGGUUGUCACGCCAGUGGCACGGCCGGUUGGCUACGUUCGGAAGGGAUAACCGCUGAAAGCAUCUAAGCGGGAAGCCUGCUCCAAGAUAAGCAUUCCGUGGAACCUUCGAGUUCCUGUAGUCCCCAUGCAGAACACGUGGUCGAUAGGCCGGACGUGGAAGCCCCGCGAGGGGUGGAGCCGACCGGUACUAACGGACGAAAGGCAACACUAA